UUGCAGGCCUGCUGGGAAAAAAUAUUGGUAUUACAAAAAUAGAAGUGUUUAUCGAGUUACAUGCAGGUGGUGGCUUGCUUGCUAUGCUUUAAAUGAUUGAAUGUAAAGAAAUCUGGACCUCCUCCCUUAACUCUUAAUGCCUUCCAAAUAUUCAGGGGAAAAGACAAGGAAAUGUACUCUGCAGGUUUAUUGAGAUCCAACGAUUUAUGGAGAAAGACUGCACAAGUUUCAAGAUCUGUAAUAUAAAAACUUCAGAGGAACUCUUCAAUUAGGAAAAAAAAGGAUGUUUUGGUUUUUCUGUUCAGAAAUUGCUUUUCCAUUUGGGACCCAUCUGACCAAUAUAUACAUACAUAGGUGAUGCACACAUGGAAGUAGGCAAGAAUCAGUAGAAGACUACACAGGAAG
This 405-nucleotide long non-coding RNA is filed under the name Crocodylus porosus (Australian saltwater crocodile). RNAcentral's name for it is "lncRNA (ENSCPRG00005004148.1)". The record is from RNAcentral. Lineage: Eukaryota; Metazoa; Chordata; Crocodylia; Crocodylidae.